GAUGAACGCUGGCGGCGUGCUUAUCACAUGCAAGUCGAACGGUGAAGGCGGAGCUUGCUCUGCUGGAUCAGUGGCGAACGGGUGAGUAACACGUGAGCAAUCUGCCCCUGACUCUGGGAUAAGCGCUGGAAACGGCGUCUAAUACUGGAUACGAGCUGCGAAGGCAUCUUCAGCAGCUGGAAAGAACUUCGGUCAGGGAUGAGCUCGCGGCCUAUCAGCUUGUUGGUGAGGUAACGGCUCACCAAGGCGUCGACGGGUAGCCGGCCUGAGAGGGUGACCGGCCACACUGGGACUGAGACACGGCCCAGACUCCUACGGGAGGCAGCAGUGGGGAAUAUUGCACAAUGGGCGCAAGCCUGAUGCAGCAACGCCGCGUGAGGGACGACGGCCUUCGGGUUGUAAACCUCUUUUAGCAGGGAAGAAGCGAAAGUGACGGUACCUGCAGAAAAAGCGCCGGCUAACUACGUG
Molecule: ribosomal RNA, 468 nt
Filed under: uncultured bacterium
Lineage: Bacteria
Description: partial 16S ribosomal RNA
Rfam family: Bacterial small subunit ribosomal RNA
Source: RNAcentral